This is a long non-coding RNA of Cynoglossus semilaevis (tongue sole), 1272 nucleotides long. RefSeq lists it as uncharacterized. The transcript has 5 exons. The record is from RefSeq and is a predicted model, not a curated record. NCBI's taxonomy places the organism in Eukaryota, Metazoa, Chordata, Actinopteri, Pleuronectiformes, Cynoglossidae.
CUCAGAGGGCACCUGUUUAGGUCUUCCGGGUAAAUUAGUCAGGUGACCUGAGGCAAAAUACGUGCUGCAACAAUUAAUGAUGCCUUUGCUGUCAGUUCUCCGACGUGACCAUUGAGCCGUGAAGCCAAUUAGCCGCCCCAUGGUGUGAAUUGUCAGUGGAGGUCAGAUCUUUGUUCUACCUGAGAAGCCAUGACAACAGCUCUCUACAUGGGAUUGAUUGCUCUGGAGUGUGAAUGUACCGAGACAAACUGAUAGAAGCUGUUCGUCAUUCUUUCACACAGUGAGAAGAAGGCACUGUGAGGCACUUCACCUGAUCUCAAGCUGAGGUUCACAUUACAGGAAACCUGGAGGAAUGGCAGCUGGAGACAUGGACGCCCUGUCCAUAUUGACCACGCCUUCGUAAUAAACAACUGAUAAGGACUCGGUGACAUCAAGUGACAAUUCAGAAGAGGACGGGAGCUCACCGUCCAAACAUGUCAAGCUGAGAAGACAGCUGGUUUGAACCAAUUUGUCUUUCUUGAUGGAGGUAUUCCAGUUUCCACAAUACAACAAUACGCUUGAUUCACUCUGUGCCCAGAUGUUGGCCCGCCCCCCACAUUGGGGACCACUGCAAAAGUGAUCAAGACACAACAGAAGAUGAAUCAUCCUGAAAAUGUCCUUGCCGCUCUGGUGGGCCUCGUUGUUCUGACCUGGAUUUAAACCUCCUCAACUUGGUGCUUGUUCAGAAUAAAAUGGCAUCGGUAAAAAGGAAGAGAAAAACUACUUCCAAUUAAAUUAAUUUAUUUGAAUCGUUCAAAGCCUUUAGAGUCAAAUGAUUCUGCCAUUACGGUUCAUUAUUACCUUCCAGGCUCCUGCAGUGGAAUACAUUUUUCCACUUAAAGGAAAAGCGGUGCAGCAGGUAAGUGGCUGUGAGCAGACACAGGACUAAAUGUCAUUCACCAUCUUUGGCUUUUGUUUUGUUCUUAGAUCACUAAUGGAACGGCCCUUUUUUUUCCCCUAAACUUUUCAAAUGACAGCUGGGAACAAAAACAUAUCCUUCAACACAUUCGGCUCAAUCCAAAUUGCUCCAAUCGUUUGUAUUUGUUCCCUGUAAAAUGAUGGAAAAAUGGAUGUUAAAAUUGAUGGCAAAGAAGGUCAUUUUAGAAUGGAGGGGGGAAAAAAACAGUGAAUUCACCUUUAGCACUGUUGUCUCACACAGUAUCUAUACCAAACAAAAACUGCCUUGAUAAUGUAAUGAUGAAUAUAAGGUUUUUCUGAUAAUAAAAAUACUGU